Mesocricetus auratus (golden hamster) is the source of this 1663-nucleotide long non-coding RNA. RefSeq lists it as uncharacterized. The record is from RefSeq and is a predicted model, not a curated record. Lineage: Eukaryota; Metazoa; Chordata; Mammalia; Rodentia; Cricetidae. The transcript is spliced from 2 exons.
UAUUGGCUAAGAAUAUUCAGGGUCAAGAUUCAAACUCAGUCGGCCGAGUUUUGUUUUGUGCAAGACAUUGUGCUUCACCCACAGUGACAACCCCUUUCCUGGCCUUUAAGGAUUUAUUUACUUUUUGUUCUCUUCCAGCCUCCAUUUCCCCACACUGGAAGGAGGAGGUCGAAGAGGUUGCAGGUAGUUCCUUCCCUAGAAGGCUAGAAGGCUGGAAGGCUAGGGAGUUUUGACCUGGUUUAACCCGGAAUUCACACAGCAGGUGCUGGAGAUCUGCUGGCCUUGUGUGGCUUCUUUGAAUGGACUCACUCCAGGGCCAGACCCCCGGAGGGCUCUCUACCAAGGUGCUACAAGUGUUUGCAGGGAAGGCUCGACUUGGUCCAUACCUGCCCUCAAGAGAUGGCCUGAGACCAGUCUGGAACCAGCAGGCAUUUUGAAGCUACCCUCAGCCACCAGAGAAGUAUCUGUGCGGAGGGUUCUUAUCCCAAAAGGAAAACAAGGCUGGCUCCACGAUUUCUGCUUGUUUGAACAAGCCACGAUAGGGACAGCUGGGGCGGGGGUGGGGACUUUGGAAAGUAAGAGUGAAGCAGAUGAGAAAAACAGCAGUAAGUGUCACAAAGAGCUGCUCAUGCCUGUCAACAGUAAGCGUCUCAUGGCCGGAGCUGUCUACUGGAUGCAGACUCACCAUAGUACUACCAGUCAGGCAAGUGGCAGACGACUAUACAGCACUGUGUCCCGAGGACACCAUUGUCCGCGGUCAGUUGCUGCCCAGAGCGGAUCUCCCAACCUCUUGCUGGAGCCCUAGGACAAAGCAGAGCUUGAAGCAACCUGCCUGCAUUUCUUGUUUCUGCCUGCGGGUGGCAAGAGCUAUGAGUUAGCAUUCUGUUGAGUUUGGGAAUCAAAAUCAAUCUGUCAAAGUCACAGCCUAGAGCUUCAGGGGGCCAGAUGUGGGCCCUGGCAGUAGUCUCGGGAUGAAGUGGGUUUACCGGGGUCUGCUGGUGAGGAUGCAAACAGAGAAUGAUCAAAACAAUACAUAUUAAAAGGAGCUUUAAUAAGAUGCAUUCACCAGCCGGCAGGUGGUAGAACAUGCCUUUGGUCCUAGCACUCCACUAUGGGGGCAGAGGAAGUCAGAUCUCUGAGUUCGAGACCAGCCUGGUUGACAGUUUCAGGACAGCCAGGGCUAUAUGGGGAAACGCAUCUCGAAAAACAAAACAAAAACAAUUGGAGAAGGUAGAAGCCAGCACCUGCACCUCAAGUGUGUAACUUGUAGCCUCUGCUGGUCACCCACACUAGGGGUCACCCCUUCCCUACAGUUACCACAGGAAGGAAGAAAAAGAUUAUCUCCAGCCCUUUCCUUUUCCUUGUGUAGGUUGUUUUUAAUUUAAUUUAUUUAUUUUGGAACAGGAUCCAUGUAGUCUGGACUGGCCUUGAACUCCUGGUCCUCGCCGCUGCGAUGGCAGGUCUGAGACGCCUUGGCGACUGAUAUUCCACCGCCUUCGGUGCUUCUGCGCCUGACCUUUGGAGGCCUUACCGACCAGCUAAGGCAAGCCUCACAGCCAAUUUCAUUAAGUCGUCUGCUCACAGAGUGACCUGCGCUAGCAGGGUCAGUCCCUUGAGCCUUGUCUCCUCCCCUUAUGCCGAAUACAGGCCUCACAAGCCUUCA